This 254-nucleotide ribosomal RNA is filed under the name uncultured bacterium. RNAcentral describes it as "partial 16S ribosomal RNA". It matches the Rfam family "Bacterial small subunit ribosomal RNA", at positions 526 to 779 of the family's 1533-position model. The record is from RNAcentral.
CGGAAGGUCUAGGCGUUAUCCGGAUUUAUUGGGUUUAAAGGGAGUGUAGGCGGUUUGUUAAGCGUGUUGUGAAAUUUAGAUGCUCAACAUUUAACUUGCAGCGCGAACUGUCAGACUUGAGUACACACAACGUAUGCGGAAUUCAUGGUGUAGCGGUGAAAUGCUUAGAUAUCAUGAAGAACUCCGAUUGCGAAGGCAGCAUACGGGAGUGUAACUGACGCUUAAGCUCGAAGGUGCGGGUAUCGAACAGGAUU